This 101-nucleotide non-coding RNA is filed under the name Oceanobacillus iheyensis. Its description in RNAcentral is "Guanine sequence". It matches the Rfam family "Purine riboswitch aptamer". From Rfam's summary of the family: Riboswitches are metabolite binding domains within certain messenger RNAs that serve as precision sensors for their corresponding targets. Allosteric rearrangement of mRNA structure is mediated by ligand binding, and this results in modulation of gene expression. A class of riboswitches that selectively recognises guanine and becomes saturated at concentrations as low as 5 nM. Lineage: Bacteria; Bacillati; Bacillota; Bacilli; Caryophanales; Bacillaceae. The record is from RNAcentral. RNAcentral also lists the same sequence under 1 other name.
CCGACAAUUGAAAAUGAACCUCAUAUAAAUUUGAGAAUAUGGCUCAGAAGUUUCUACCCAGCACCGUAAAUGGCUGGACUAUGAGGGAAGAUGGAUCAUUU